CUUAUACUCCCUCCGUCCGGAAAAGCUUGUCCCUCAAAUGGAUGUAUCUAACACCAAGUUAGUGCUAGAUACAUCCAUUUGAGGGACAAGUUUGGGACAAGUUUUUCCGGACGGAGGGAGUAUUUU
Non-coding RNA from Triticum aestivum (bread wheat), 126 nucleotides. Lineage: Eukaryota; Viridiplantae; Streptophyta; Magnoliopsida; Poales; Poaceae. The record is from Rfam.